Molecule: unclassified non-coding RNA, 234 nt
Filed under: plant metagenome
Description: partial contains small subunit ribosomal RNA, internal transcribed spacer 1, and 5.8S ribosomal RNA
Source: RNAcentral
UUUCCGUAGGUGAACCUGCGGAAGGAUCAUUAAAGUUAUAGUCCCCCGGCCCCUCCGGGCUGGGGUCUUCUAUACCACCCUUUGUUUAUGCACCUUUGUUGCUUUGGCAGGCCUGCCCUCGGGCUGCUGGCUCCGGCCGGCUCGUGCCUGCCAGAGGACCUAAACUCUGUUUGUAUAUGAAGUCUGAGUACUAUAUAAUAGUUAAAACUUUCAACAACGGAUCUCUUGGUUCUG